Molecule: small nuclear RNA, 107 nt
Filed under: Mus spretus (western wild mouse)
Lineage: Eukaryota; Metazoa; Chordata; Mammalia; Rodentia; Muridae
Source: RNAcentral
GUGUUCACUUUGGCAGCACACAUACUAAAAUUAGAAUGAUACAGAGAAGAUUAGCAUGGCCCCAGCACAAGGAUGACACACAAAUUCGUGAAGCAUUCAAUAUUUUA